Molecule: ribosomal RNA, 253 nt
Filed under: uncultured bacterium
Lineage: Bacteria
Description: partial 16S ribosomal RNA
Rfam family: Bacterial small subunit ribosomal RNA
Source: RNAcentral
UACAGAGGGGGCAAGCGUUAUUCGGAAUUAUUGGGCGUAAAGAGCUCGUAGGCGGUCUGUCGCGUCUGCUGUGAAAAUCCAGGGCUCAACCCUGGACCUGCAGUGGGUACGGGCAGACUAGAGUGCGGUAGGGGAGAUCGGAAUUCCUGGUGUAGCGGUGAAAUGCGCAGAUAUCAGGAGGAACACCGGUGGCGAAGGCGGAUCUCUGGGCCGUAACUGACGCUGAGGAGCGAAAGCAUGGGGAGCGAACAGG